Non-coding RNA from Clathrospora elynae, 84 nucleotides. The record is from the annotation of a GenBank genome assembly. Lineage: Eukaryota; Fungi; Ascomycota; Dothideomycetes; Pleosporales; Diademaceae.
UCUUCAGUAGUAUAGUGGUCAGUAUUUCCGCUUGUCAUUCGUGACAGUUCGCGGGAGGCCGGAGUUCGAUUCUCCGCUGGAGAG